Molecule: long non-coding RNA, 1955 nt
Organism: Oncorhynchus kisutch (coho salmon)
Lineage: Eukaryota; Metazoa; Chordata; Actinopteri; Salmoniformes; Salmonidae
Source: Ensembl
AUGUUCACCACCACCUCUCUAUGUCCCUGGCAAACACGUGUGGGGGGAAGCCCUCAUCCUCAACUCCCUUACACUGCAGGCAUACAAGAAUGUGGAAAGGACGAGUUUUUCCAGACUGAAGCAGUGGAGCAGUUUCAUCAGCUGGUGCCCCAGAAGGUCAGCAUGGAGUUUGAGAAUACUAGUAUAACCCUGUCCAUGCACAGCCAGAAAAGGUGAGUCAUAAGACAUGGAGUUAGUAUGAAUUAUAUUUUAUGUGUUGGUUUGUGUUUCUGUUAUUCCAUUUUCUUCAUCCUUUGACUAUCUGAAUCAUCGGACGUGAGGACGAGCAGCUGUCGCUCAGGAGCUUCACCCCUGAGAUGAGCUUCCCUCAGAGCAGCCUGGAGCUACUUCUGGAGGGUGAGUAGAGAGCUUGGCACAAGAAAGAUGUGUGUCACAAAUGGCAAUCUAUUCCCUACAUGGUGCACUAUAUAGGGAAUAGGUUGCCAUUUUGGAUGUAGCCAUAGAGGAGGGGAUGAGAGGGUCUGGGAGGGUGGGGAAAAUAUCCAUUCCUUGUUUGUGUAUCAUCAGAUGGGCUUCUCCUCUCCCAGAGCAGACAGAGAAUCCUUUGCCUUAACACCCUCAGGACUGUCUUGCGAGUGGUGUGGAUUUGAUUGAUAUAGUUACUAGUUUUCAUAGUUGCAUUGCAUCAACAUAGCUUUUUGCAAAUAUGUUUGACAUUUGAUCUCUCGUAAUAAAUAAGUUUGUUCUGAAGUCUCCUGCUUAUCUCCCACUCAUGUCCCCAGGUGACAUCAGUGGACAUUUCAGGGCCAGUCACAGUCAACACCUGCAUCAUCCACUACCGUCACCAGGAGUUCUCCCAUUGGCUAGACCUGUUUCCAUGGGAACAGCUUAUUCAUAGGAAAACAGCUCAUAGAAAGAGGUAGGAGCAUUUUCAACUGACAAACCAGACGGGAGAAUGUCAAGCACACCAGUUGAUUGCUUGAAACGGAUGUAAAGACAAUAUCCAAAAACAUACAUUACUAACUUGGCCCUAUAACAUGGUUUCUUUUUGAUAUCGAUUAACACUCUAAUCCUCUCCUGUCUGCAUCCUCAUGUUUCUGUUGUGUCUGGUGGUGUAUUGUGGUGUGUAGUCCAGUGGAGUAUUUGCAUACCCUCCCGUCCUACAGGAACUUCCCCCACCUGGACACCCCAGUGAUGAUCAGCUCCUCAGUGUCCAAUGUCAAUGUGUCUGGGAGACACUCCUCCCUUCGCCCUGGGCUUCAUCUCAGUCAGCACAGGUACAGCACAACACACACUCACACAAGGCAUGGUCAAAAUAUACUCCCGUUGCAUUAAAGGUCAAGAAUAUGUUGUGGAAACACAAAGUUUAGUCUUGCCUGGAGAGGAAUGACAGGAAUGCUAAUGAACAGCAGUGGGUGUUUUUCUUCAGUUCAUUCUGCUUUCAACAUUGCAGUGGUUUCAGGAAGUCAUGGUGCUGGAGCUGUUGAAUCAACCCUUUCCAAAAAUACCCAGCCCUGAAAAAUUAUAUAAGUCAUCAGAAGUGUUUUUGUAAGGCACAGUCAGCUUUUUACCAUUCUUUAACACAUGAACUACAAUUACUUUAUUCCUCUAUAUAUGGUAAUCAAAUGCAAAAUCCUUUUACAUCACAGAAUCAUCACACACAUAGUGAGUAGAGUUAGAGUUGCAUACCAAAGUGUAGUAAUGUGACUUGUGAUCUUCAGUAGAUCUGAAUAUGUAAUGUAUAAUGUAGAGAUGCAGCACUUCCUGGACAUCAGCACAAACGCAGAGAGCCUCAAUAUCCAGAAUGUUCACCACCACCUCUCUAUGUCCCUGGCAAACACGUGUGGGGGGAAGCCCUCAUCCUCAACUCCCUUACACUGCAGGCAUACAAGGUAGGCAAUAACUAUUUAGGGUUACUCACUCACUACUACUCCCCAAGGUUUCAGCUGGGUUCC